UACGUAGGGCGCAAGCGUUAUCCGGAAUUACUGGGCGUAAAGGGCGCGUAGGCGGCCUUCUAAGUCGAACGUGAAAUCCCCGGGCUCAACCCGGGAACUGCGUCCGAUACUGGAAGGCUUGAAUCCGGGAGAGGGAUGUGGAAUUCCAGGUGUAGCGGUGAAAUGCGUAGAUAUCUGGAGGAACACCGGUGGCGAAGGCGACAUCCUGGACCGGUAUUGACGCUGAGGCGCGAAAGCCAGGGGAGCAAACGGG
Molecule: ribosomal RNA, 253 nt
Filed under: uncultured bacterium
Lineage: Bacteria
Description: partial 16S ribosomal RNA
Rfam family: Bacterial small subunit ribosomal RNA
Source: RNAcentral